This 254-nucleotide ribosomal RNA is filed under the name uncultured bacterium. RNAcentral describes it as "partial 16S ribosomal RNA". It matches the Rfam family "Bacterial small subunit ribosomal RNA", at positions 524 to 776 of the family's 1533-position model. The record is from RNAcentral.
UACGAAGGGGGCUAGCGUUGCUCGGAAUCACUGGGCGUAAAGCGCACGUAGGCGGACUCUUAAGUCGGGGGUGAAAUCCUGGAGCUCAACUCCAGAACUGCCUUCGAUACUGAGAGUCUUCGAGUUCGGGAGAGGUGAGUGGAACUGCGAGUGUAGAGGUGAAAUUCGUAGAUAUUGGCUGGAACACCGGUGGCGAAAGCGGCUCUCUGGCCCGGUUCUGACGCUGAGGCGCGAAAGCGUGGGGAGCAAACAGG